CCCUUAGGUGUUCUGGGCCGCACGCGCGCUACACUGACGGAGUCAACGAGUUGUCCUGCAUCGGAAGGUGUGGGUAAUCUUUUGAAACUUCGUCGUGCUGGGGAUAGAUCUUUGCAAUUUUCGAUCUUGAACGAGGAAUUCCUAGUAAGCGUGAUUCAUCAGAUCGCGUUGAUUACGUCCCUGCCCUUUGUACACACCGCCCGUCGCUACUACCGAUUGAAUGGUUUAGUGAGGCCUCGGGACUGGCGCGCUCGAGUAGCAAUACACCUGCGCGCCGGGAACUUGGUCAAACUUGAUCAUUUAGAGGAAGUAAAAGUCGUAACA
RNAcentral lists this ribosomal RNA (324 nucleotides) under uncultured eukaryote. RNAcentral's name for it is "partial 18S ribosomal RNA". It matches the Rfam family "Eukaryotic small subunit ribosomal RNA", at positions 1470 to 1796 of the family's 1831-position model. The record is from RNAcentral.